AACGCGAAGAACCUUACCUACCCUUGACAUGUACGGAAGCCGGAUGAGAGUUCGGUGUGCCCGAAAGGGAGCCGUAACACAGGUGCUGCGUGGCUGUCAUCAGCUCGUGUCGUGAGAUGUUGGGUUAAGUCCCGCAACGAGCGCAACCCUUGUCGUUAAUUGCCAUCAUUCAGUUGGGCACAUUAAUGAGACUGCCGGUGACAAACCGGGGGAAGGUGGGGAUGACGUCAAGUCCUCAUGGCCCUUAUGGGUAGGGCUUCACACGUCAUACAAUGGUCGGUACAGAGGGUUGCCAAGCCGCGAGGUGGAGCCAAUCCCAGAAAGCCGAUCGUAGUCCGGAUCGCAGUCUGCAACUCGACUGCGUGAAGUCGGAAUCGCUAGUAAUCGCGGAUCAGCAUGUCGCGGUGAAUACGUUCCCGGGUCUUGUACACACCG
RNAcentral lists this ribosomal RNA (435 nucleotides) under uncultured bacterium. Its description in RNAcentral is "bacterial SSU rRNA". It matches the Rfam family "Bacterial small subunit ribosomal RNA", at positions 958 to 1392 of the family's 1533-position model. The record is from RNAcentral.